This is a long non-coding RNA of Ornithodoros turicata, 1161 nucleotides long. RefSeq lists it as uncharacterized. Lineage: Eukaryota; Metazoa; Arthropoda; Arachnida; Ixodida; Argasidae. The transcript has 3 exons. The record is from RefSeq and is a predicted model, not a curated record.
UCGAGACGCGCGGGAGGUGCUCCGUGGGACGAAGAAGAAGAAGGCGGCGCUCAGUCAUCUCAGCUGUCUUCAUUGUGGAACUACCUGCCGAACUCGGUGGACAUCUUUUCAUCCGCAUUGAUUUUGUGUUUCCAGAAAAAAAAUGACCGAACAAUCCGCAAUGUCCGGCAUGUCCUCGAUGUCGGGGAUGUCGGGGAUGUCCGGCAUGUCCGGGAUGUCCGGUGGCGAUGCCAUCGGCGCAGACGAGGAGCAGAGUAAGUGUUAUUCACAUACUACGAAAAACUCGUCAGAGACCGAUAACGCGAGCCGUUUUCACGCUGUUCGGGGACAUCUAUUAUUCGAUACCUCACACCGGGAUGCAACUGGGAGCAUUAUAUACGAAACCUUGUAACGUAUGGUCCAGCCGUUAGCCUUUUGAUAGCAACACAGGGGAUUGGGCGCCACUGGGCUUAUCUGCUCCUGCAUAGCUUCGAUACAACUUGGACGAUUCGGCUUAGCAAGCGGAUUCCCUGUGCCAUGAAAGGUUCACCGCACAAAUGUUGCUCGCUCGAUGCUUUUGUUUGACCUUUUACCCCCCCGUGUUGUCACGUGGGAACCAUGAGGCCGAGGACGAUAGCUAUGUGGGGAGAGGUAAACAUUGCUUAGUACCGGCGCACGUCACAGGAACCCCAGGUGAUCGAAAUUCCCCUACCCCUAACCCUACCCCUAUCCCAGAGGCACGUGCGGUCGGUGCCCACACAAAAAAGUCCGAGCUUACGCGUAGAUCCGUGAUGUGUGACUUGAACUUACACAAGCAGGACUAACAUUCUCUUUUCUAUUGUCUAGAUAAGAAGUGAGUAUUUAAAUGUUUCGAUUAUUAUUAUUAUUUAGACAUACAGUCAAACUCCUUUACAACGAAACUCAGGGGACAGCAAAAAAAAAAAAAAAAAUGCAGUAAAGGUAUUUUCGUUAAAAAGGUGUUCGCUAUAAAGGAGUUUGACUGUACUGCCAGCCCCCGGUUGGCGCCCAGGCAGGAGCGGACAACAGUGCACAAUCCAAGUAUAGUAGUGGAACAAAAAGCGCGGCACGGCACAAUCGGUUGUCGGUUCAUUCAAUGCACGCACAAAGGUGUCAGCAGUGUCCCUCCUAGUCCCUCCAGUGUCCGCAUGUGUCGAAAGAUGG